AGUGAACGCUGGCGGUAGGCCUAACACAUGCAAGUCGAACGGCAGCACAGUAAGAGCUUGCUCUUACGGGUGGCGAGUGGCGGACGGGUGAGGAAUACAUCGGAAUCUACUUUUUCGUGGGGGAUAACGUAGGGAAACUUACGCUAAUACCGCAUACGACCUACGGGUGAAAGCAGGGGAUCUUCGGACCUUGCGCGAUUGUAUGAGCCGAUGUCGGAUUAGCUAGUUGGCGGGGUAAAGGCCCACCAAGACGACGAUCCGUAGCUGGUCUGAGAGGAUGAUCAGCCACACUGGAACUGAGACACGGUCCAGACUCCUACGGGAGGCAGCAGUGGGGAAUAUUGGACAAUGGGCGCAAGCCUGAUCCAGCCAUACCGCGUGGGUGAAGAAGGCCUUCGGGUUGUAAAGCCCUUUUGUUGGGAAAGAAAAGCAGCAGGUUAAUACCCCGCUGUUCUGACGGUACCCAAAGAAUAAGCACCGGCUAACUUCGUG
Molecule: ribosomal RNA, 492 nt
Filed under: uncultured bacterium
Lineage: Bacteria
Description: partial 16S ribosomal RNA
Rfam family: Bacterial small subunit ribosomal RNA
Source: RNAcentral